RNAcentral lists this ribosomal RNA (303 nucleotides) under Staphylococcus epidermidis NIHLM095. RNAcentral's name for it is "bacterial LSU rRNA". It matches the Rfam family "Bacterial large subunit ribosomal RNA", at positions 2620 to 2925 of the family's 2925-position model. The record is from RNAcentral. Lineage: Bacteria; Bacillati; Bacillota; Bacilli; Caryophanales; Staphylococcaceae. RNAcentral also lists the same sequence under 1 other name.
CGUGAGACAGUUCGGUCCCUAUCCGUCGUGGGCGUAGGAAAUUUGAGAGGAGCUGUCCUUAGUACGAGAGGACCGGGAUGGACAUACCUCUGGUGUACCAGUUGUCGUGCCAACGGCAUAGCUGGGUAGCUAUGUAUGGACGGGAUAAGUGCUGAAAGCAUCUAAGCAUGAAGCCCCCCUCAAGAUGAGAUUUCCCAACUUCGGUUAUAAGAUCCCUCGAAGAUGACGAGGUUAAUAGGUUCGAGGUGGAAGCGUGGUGACACGUGGAGCUGACGAAUACUAAUCGAUCGAAGACUUAAUCAA